Molecule: ribosomal RNA, 483 nt
Filed under: uncultured bacterium
Lineage: Bacteria
Description: partial 16S ribosomal RNA
Rfam family: Bacterial small subunit ribosomal RNA
Source: RNAcentral
GACGAACGCUGGCGGCGUGCUUAACACAUGCAAGUCGAACGCUGAAGCUCAGCUUUUGUUGGGUGGAUGAGUGGCGAACGGGUGAGUAACACGUGAGUAACCUGCCCCCUUCUUUGGGAUAACGCCCGGAAACGGGUGCUAAUACUGGAUAUUCACUGGUCUUCGCAUGGGGGUUGGUGGAAAGGGUUUUUCUGGUGGGGGAUGGGCUCGCGGCCUAUCAGCUUGUUGGUGGGGUGAUGGCCUACCAAGGCUUUGACGGGUAGCCGGCCUGAGAGGGUGACCGGUCACAUUGGGACUGAGAUACGGCCCAGACUCCUACGGGAGGAAGCAGGGGGGAAUAUUGAACAAUGGGCGCAAGCCUGAUGCAGCGACGCCGCGUGAGGGAUGGAGGCCUUCGGGUUGUGAACCUCUUUCGCUAAUGGUCAAGCCGCAACAAUGGUUGUGGUGAGGGUAGUGGGUAAAGAAGCGCCGGCUAACUACGUG